RNAcentral lists this ribosomal RNA (473 nucleotides) under uncultured bacterium. RNAcentral describes it as "partial 16S ribosomal RNA". It matches the Rfam family "Bacterial small subunit ribosomal RNA", at positions 28 to 507 of the family's 1533-position model. The record is from RNAcentral.
GAUGAACGCUAGCGGCAGGCCUAAUACAUGCAAGUCGAACGGGUGGUCGCAAGACCCCUAGUGGCGCACGGGUGCGUAACGCGUAACCAACCUGCCCCGAUCUGGGGGAUAGCCCGCCGAAAGGCGGAUUAAUACCGCAUAUACCCGCAGCCUGGCAUCAGGCAACGGGGAAAGAUUUAUUGGAUCGGGAUGGGGUUGCGUGACAUUAGCUAGUUGGCGGGGUAAGGGCCCACCAAGGCGACGAUGUCUAGGGGACCUGAGAGGGUGAUCCCCCACACUGGCACCGAGAUACGGGCCAGACUCCUACGGGAGGCAGCAGUAGGGAAUAUUGGGCAAUGGGCGAGAGCCUGACCCAGCCAUGCCGCGUGCCGGAUGAAGGCCUUCUGGGUUGUAAACGGCUUUUCUCAGGGAAGAAAAAGACCUUGCGAGGUACACUGACGGUACCUGAGGAAUAAGCACCGGCUAACUCCGUG